This is a long non-coding RNA of Lynx canadensis (Canada lynx), 3502 nucleotides long. RefSeq lists it as uncharacterized. The record is from RefSeq and is a predicted model, not a curated record. Lineage: Eukaryota; Metazoa; Chordata; Mammalia; Carnivora; Felidae. The transcript is spliced from 6 exons.
AGGAGGGAACGUGUGGGAACUUGGGGACUGGGCGAGGUGAGGGCUUGGGCGGGCGUGAGCCCCAGGUGCUGCGAUCUCUGUUUGGGCUCGGAACCCGGCAGGACCAGGACCACAGUCUCCGGGGUCAUCCGUUCCCUCCCCACCCAAAAAGGAAUCGCCACCGGGUCGGAGGCUGAGACACGCAUGCUCUCCUGCCCACUGCCACACCUGUCAUGUGGAAGAGUCUCCGUUAGCCUGAGUCCUGGGAGAGCAGAGCACCCCCACCAGGAUACAGUCAACGUGUAGUGCUUAGAAGCUGAUGUCUUCUCUCCGAGGUGGAAUUACAUUUACCAAGCUCAUGGGACUGAUGUGGAAAAUCGGAACGUCAGUGUAUUCACUGAUAACAAAAAAUAUAAUUGCUGAGAAGACUGGAAUACUCUCAUCAGUGUGACCAGCACAUUCUUUCCCGGAGGCAGAUCUAAGUGAAAAGCCAAAUUAUACAAAGAAGGUGGCUUGUUCCUGGUGUUCAAGGAAAUCUCUGUCAAAACUCCGUGGAGCAUGAGCUAAAGGAACAGAGACAUCAGUGACUUCAUGUGAGUUUAUGUUCAUUUGCUACAGCAGCGGUAGGAAGCUAACGCAGUGCUCAUUGAACGUUAGCUCUGGCCAUUGGGGAGGAACUUCAGCUCCAUGUUACCUGUGGUCAGUGUGUUCAGUAAAUACUGAUCACAAUAAACAUAAUGGAUACGAGAACUCGCCAGAAGCGGUAUAGCAGGAGGUCUGUUCCUUUUCUGCUUAACUGUUGGUAUCGGAAGCAUCUGAAAGUACUUUGUUCAGUUUUUUUUAAAAAUCUGUAAUUCUGAACCAGUUACUUUAUUCCGCGGUGCAGGCCUGAUUCCACACUUUGGCGAAAGUUAGUAAUUUUUUAACAGGUAGAGGCGGCGGUGAAAUGGAACACACCUCAGGUCGGAAGUCCGAAAGUUGGGCCCUGGUCUCAGCUCCACCUCUAUCUGGCGGUGUGACUUAGGUCAUCUUGCCUCCUCUCUUUGGGUUUUGUUUUCCCCAUUCAGAAAAUGAAGGAAUUAGAUCAAUAAUAACUCCCAUGUGUCAAAUGCCUGCAAUGCACAAUUUAUACAUAUGGUCUCAUCUGAGCCCCAUAAAAACUGUGCAAGGUAUCAUCCCCAUUUUAUAGUUGAGAAAACUGAGAGGCCCAGAGAGGUUAAGUGACUUUCCCAAGGUCACAGAGUAUCAGGCAGAGCUGUGAUUUAAAACCAGGACUGUUUGACUCGUUUUGAUAAGCCCCUCUACCUUUCCACGUUUUGGAGGUCGACACUGUCUUCACAGAACAUGCUUAUGAGGCACCUGCUUUUCUCCGUACAUCAUAGUGAGGAUGAUGGGUCUCUCUAGCUUCCCACUUGAGGGGUCUGGAACCUGGUCCAUCUCUUGUGUUUCUGAGAACCUCUGAUUCAGCCCCUCAGAGACUUCCCUCACAACCAUGUAUCCCUCCUCUCACCUCUAACAGACACUACGAGGUGCUGAACCAAUGUCUGGCCUCUCCUUUUUACUUAGUAACAGAAUCCUAAUUUUGUUCGAAUAAAAUGUACCCACUUAAAAAUACCUGCCCGCAUUCCCUUGCAGGUGCACCCUUACAGGUGGUCCCCUGACCCAGCUCUGACCAAUGAGAUGUAAGUGGACGUUUGGGUGGGGAUUCUUGGGAAUCUAUCUUCUUCAUACUAAAAGGUGGGAGAAGUCAGCAAGCCCAAGGCACAAAUUGCCUUUGUUUUCAUCCUCGCCUGGAACGUAGGUGAGGUUUCUGGAAGUGGAGCAGCCAUCUUGUGACUAUGAGGGUGAGUGCCACCUGCUAAGGAUAGCAGAGCCGGAAGACCGAAGAAACUUCUUUGUCAUCGGUCCUCUGUACCAGCCUGGAUUGCCUAGACUUCUUGUCACAUGAGAAAACUAAAGCUUUAUUUGGUCAGAUUUCUGUUCUGUCAACUUCAUACCAUCCUAACUGACAGGUUCUCUGAGAAAAGUCUCUCCUCUGCCCUGUAGGCCUGACAUGUGGCCUUAAUAAGCACCUGUGGUGACUCAGAAAUAGACCAGGGGGAAGAGAAAUUGGCCAUGGCUGUGAUUCUGAACUUGCUGAGCCAUCACCUGUUCAAUCCAUGCUCUGAAGAAGAGUCUGUUAAUUACACUCUCCUUGGCCAGCCAGAGCACAGGAGGCUGCGUCCGUGUGUUCUCAGGGAAGCUCAAAUAUAGCUCAGACUCCUUCACCGCUUUUGCUGAGUGUGCAGCUUCUGCGUGUCUGGCAGCCCCAGCGAAGAAUGGAGAAGCUUUUCCCGGGAGGUUAGAGUCUGAAGAAGGUGCUAGGAAACAGGGAUGCUGGCAAGGUCUGGCUCAAGGAAACAAGGUCUUCCCUCCCGCCUUCUGCAAGGAGUUAAAGCAAUAUGGAAAAGUACAAAGAAGGAAGUGAGAAAGUCAAGUGAUCAAGGUCAACAGCACGAAGGGGUUUCAUUGUCAGGGGUGAGCUGAGGCUCAGGAAGCAGCCACGAAAACCUGCCUCGCACCCCCUCUCAUUUCUCCACUGCGCUGGAAUCGGACUCUAAAUGGAAAGAGGGAGUCAAGAGGGCCCCAGCCUGGCUCCUCAUCCGGGCAGAAGCUGUCCCUUUAAAAGAGAGAGGAGGCAGAGUUGGCUUACUGCUGCCUGAAGGGGCUGACUGACAGCCAGUGUGCUCCCGGGAGGCCUGAUGUCAUCACCAGUGAGCAACAAGGCAUCUGACUGGCAGCAGAAUGAGGAGUCCAGGAGCCUUGGCUGUGACUGCGGGGGGGGGGGGGGGGUUCUGCACAGCACCCACCGAGCAGGCAUUUAAAGUUGCAGGAAUUGGGUCCAUCCCAGGCUCUUCAGGGCCCCUCUCUCAGCCUUACCUAUCAAGCAGGGCUUCUCUCCUCCAUUCUCUCCAUCCUUGGAACGGGGGCGUCCUGCCUGCAAGACCAGACUCCCGUUCCAGCACUGGAACCACCCCCCGAGUGCCAGGUCCGGACCAUACCUGGCUCUCAAGUGCAUGCUCUCCUUCCCUCCUCCCCUCUGAUGAUGAACUUGACACUAUUUUUUUUUCUAAUUAUAAAGGUAAUACAGGCAUUGUAAAAAAAAAAAAAAAAAAAAAGGAAGGAAGGAAAGUACCAGUUGACUCUUGUACAUUGCUGAUGCCCACGCAGUUGUAAAUCACAUAUAACUUUUGACUCCCCCAAAACUUAACUGCUAAUAGCCUACUGUUGACUGGAAGCCUUAUUGAUAACAUAAAUGGUUAAUUAACAGUUAUUUUGCAUGUCGUCUGUAUUAUAUACUGGAUUCUUACAAUAAAGUGAGCUGGAGAAAAAGUGUUAUUAAGAAAAUCAUAAAAAAAGAGGAAAUGUACAGUAUGAGACUGUAUAUACGGGGAAAAAUCUGCAUCUAAGUGCACCCGUGCAGUUCACAGUCAACUGUACAGAACACUGUAAAGAAUAAAGUGAAAAUUAUGCUUAGCCACAA